UCUGGUUGAUCCUGCCAGUAGUCAUAUGCUUGUCUCAAAGAUUAAGCCAUGCAUGUCUAAGUACGGCUCUAGUACGGUGAAACUGCGAAUGGCUCAUUAAAUCAGUUUUGGUUCAUUUGAUCGUGAAAGUUACAUGGAUAACUGUUGUAAUUCAAGAGCUAAUACACGCUAAGAGUGUCGCUCUCUGGGCGGCGCGCUUUUAUCAGACCAAAACCAAUCACCUUCGGGUGUUCAUUGUGGUGAGUCUGGAUAAACUAGCUGAUCGCAUGGUCUCGAACCGGCGAUGGAUCAUUCAAGUGUCUGACCUAUCAACUGUCGAUGGUAGCGUAUUGGGCUACCAUGGUUGUAACGGGUAACGGAGAAUUAGGGUUUGGUUCCGGAGAGGGAGUCUGAGAAACGGCUACCACAUCUAAGGAAGGCAGCAGGCGCGCAAAUUACCCAUUCCCGACUCGGGGAGGUAGUGACGAAAAAUAACAAUUCAAGACUCUUAACGAGGCCUUGAAGUUGGAAUGAGUACACUUUAAAACUUUUAACGAGUAACUAUUGGAGGGCAAGUCUGGUCCCCCGUGCCCCGCCCGGGGCGCGCCCCGG
This 591-nucleotide ribosomal RNA is filed under the name eukaryotic picoplankton environmental sample. Its description in RNAcentral is "SSU rRNA". It matches the Rfam family "Eukaryotic small subunit ribosomal RNA", at positions 1 to 588 of the family's 1831-position model. The record is from RNAcentral.